This 628-nucleotide ribosomal RNA is filed under the name Lactiplantibacillus plantarum. Its description in RNAcentral is "bacterial SSU rRNA". It matches the Rfam family "Bacterial small subunit ribosomal RNA", at positions 1 to 593 of the family's 1533-position model. The record is from RNAcentral. Lineage: Bacteria; Bacillati; Bacillota; Bacilli; Lactobacillales; Lactobacillaceae.
UUAAUUUGAGAGUUUGAUCCUGGCUCAGGACGAACGCUGGCGGCGUGCCUAAUACAUGCAAGUCGAACGAACUCUGGUAUUGAUUGGUGCUUGCAUCAUGAUUUACAUUUGAGUGAGUGGCGAACUGGUGAGUAACACGUGGGAAACCUGCCCAGAAGCGGGGGAUAACACCUGGAAACAGAUGCUAAUACCGCAUAACAACUUGGACCGCAUGGUCCGAGUUUGAAAGAUGGCUUCGGCUAUCACUUUUGGAUGGUCCCGCGGCGUAUUAGCUAGAUGGUGGGGUAACGGCUCACCAUGGCAAUGAUACGUAGCCGACCUGAGAGGGUAAUCGGCCACAUUGGGACUGAGACACGGCCCAAACUCCUACGGGAGGCAGCAGUAGGGAAUCUUCCACAAUGGACGAAAGUCUGAUGGAGCAACGCCGCGUGAGUGAAGAAGGGUUUCGGCUCGUAAAACUCUGUUGUUAAAGAAGAACAUAUCUGAGAGUAACUGUUCAGAUAUUGACGGUAUUUAACCAGAAAGCCACGGCUAACUACGUGCCAGCAGCCGCGGUAAUACGUAGGUGGCAAGCGUUGUCCGGAUUUAUUGGGCGUAAAGCGAGCGCAGGCGGUUUUUUAAGUCUGAU